UACGUAGGUGGCAAGCGUUGUCCGGAUUUACUGGGUGUAAAGGGCGCGUAGGCGGGUAUGUAAGUCAGAUGUGAAAUUUAUGGGCUUAACCCAUAAACUGCAUUUGAAACUGCGUAUCUUGAGUGAUGGAGAGGUAAGUGGAAUUCCUAGUGUAGCGGUGGAAUGCGUAGAUAUUAGGAGGAACACCAGUGGCGAAGGCGACUUACUGGACAUUAACUGACGCUGAUGCGCGAAAGCGUGGGGAGCAAACAGG
Molecule: ribosomal RNA, 253 nt
Filed under: uncultured bacterium
Lineage: Bacteria
Description: partial 16S ribosomal RNA
Rfam family: Bacterial small subunit ribosomal RNA
Source: RNAcentral